GAGAAACGGCUACCACAUCCAAGGAAGGCAGCAGGCGCGCAAAUUACCACUCCCGGAACGGGGAGGUAGUGACGAAAAAUAACAAUACGGGACUCUUUUGAGACCCGUAAUUGGAAUGAGUACACUCUAAAUCCUUUAACGAUUAUCAAUUGGAGGGCAAGCCAAGUGCCAGCAGCCGCGGUAACACUUGCUCCAAUAGCGUAUAUUAAAGUUGUUGCGGUUAAAAAGCUCGUAGUUGGAUCUCAGUUCUAGUCGGGCGGUCCGCCUAACGGCGGUAACUGCCCGUUCUGAACAGGCCAGCCGGUUUCCCUUGAUGAUCUUCACCGGUUGUCUCGGUUGACCGGCAAGUUUACUUUGAAUAAAUUAGAGUGCUCAAAGCAGGCGUGACGCCUGAACAAUGGUGCAUGGAAUAAUGGAAUAGGACCUCGGUUCUAUUUUGUUGGUUUUCGGAACACGAGGUAAUGAUUAAGAGGGACAGACGGGGGCAUUCGUAUUGCGACGCUAGAGGUGAAAUUCUUGGACCGUCGCAAGACGAACUACUGCGAAAGCAUUUGCCAAGAAUGUUUCCAUUAAUCAAGAACGAAAGUUAGAGGUUCGAAGGCGAUCAGAUACCGCCCUAGUUCUAACCAUAAACGAUGCCAGCCAGCGAUCCGGCUGUGUUCCUCAAAUGACACGCCGGGCAGCUUCCGGGAAACCAAAGCUUUUGGGUUCCGGGGGAAGUAUGGUUGCAAAGCUGAAACUUAAAAGAAUUGACGGAGGGUCACCACCAGAAAUGGAGCUUGCGGUUCAAUUUGACUCAACGCAGCGAACCCUACCAGGUCAGGACACAGGUAGGAUUGACAGAUUAAGAGCUCUUUCUUGAUUUUGUGGGUAGUGGUGCAUGUCCGCUC
This 890-nucleotide ribosomal RNA is filed under the name Grammonota inornata. RNAcentral's name for it is "SSU rRNA". It matches the Rfam family "Eukaryotic small subunit ribosomal RNA", at positions 398 to 1293 of the family's 1831-position model. The record is from RNAcentral. Lineage: Eukaryota; Metazoa; Arthropoda; Arachnida; Araneae; Linyphiidae.